Molecule: non-coding RNA, 735 nt
Organism: Chlorocebus sabaeus (green monkey)
Lineage: Eukaryota; Metazoa; Chordata; Mammalia; Primates; Cercopithecidae
Source: RefSeq, a predicted model, not a curated record
UUACCACACAUUCUCUUAUAGUCUUUCUGGGUGAGAAGCCUUCAAACGCCUUUCCACCUUGAAAACACAUUCCAGAGCUGAAGGGAAUGCGGAAAGUGGGGAGACUGCUGGAAGUUAUAAGCCCUCCUCCCAGGAGAGCAGGGACAACUUGGAGCCUUCUGACCCCUGCACCAAGCCGGGGAGAAGCGGCAACGGCGAGCCCUCCAUCAGAGAAGUAAUCAGGGUUGGAAAAGCCCCCAAGUCCCAGGCAGCAGCUGGAACAAUGAAGGAGAGCCGGCAGCUGCCAGGAUCCCAGAAAAGAAGACCUAACAAUGACACCCAUCCAGAAAGGUGAAGUCCUCCUGGCAAUGUUCUCUUUAACCUAUGAUAUAUGUUACGAAGAGUGGACCAAGGUUCUGUUUUUAACUGGUGGCGGAGCAACAAAGAAACUAAGUUUUAUCCUCUCUUCCACUGCUGGACUUGAAGAUUUGGCCAAUGGACAUGAUUCCUUUUCACUGAAGCCUCCUAGAAACUGAAAUUUGUGCUGUGCUUGAAGAAGAUGCUUUGUGGAUAUUUUCAGAUGCACACCUAAGAUUGUUAUUCUCAUUUAAAAUUUUAAUUUCUAAUAUGUGUUUAUUUCUUCUACAUGCCUUUCAUUAUUAAUUAAAUUGUAUGUAUAUUGGUGGUUCAAAAGGAUGUAAUUUUCUUUCUAAAUUUAUGUAGCCCAUCUUUUGUAUAAUCGUAUUAAUUUUCAAU